This 370-nucleotide unclassified non-coding RNA is filed under the name soil metagenome. Its description in RNAcentral is "partial contains 5.8S ribosomal RNA, internal transcribed spacer 2, and large subunit ribosomal RNA". The stretch from base 1 to 120 matches the Rfam family "5.8S ribosomal RNA", at positions 35 to 154 of the family's 154-position model. The record is from RNAcentral.
GAUGAAGAACGCAGCGAAGUGCGAUAUGUAAUGUGAAUUGCAGAAUUCCGUGAAUCAUCGAAUCUUUGAACGCAAAUUGCACUCUUUGGUAUUCCGAAGAGUAUGCCUGUUUGAGGGUCAGUCAAAUAAAAAUCGGGGUUGUUGCUGCUGCCUUCGGUGGUGACGCUUCGGAACUGGGUCGUCUUUUCUUUCGGUUAAGUGACCUAAAAUUUCGGAUGAUUUUUCGAACGUAUUUAAUUUUUUUUACGUACGUUUGUAUAUCAAAUAUUAGAUGUGAUUAUUUUCAUGAUUCGCGUCUAUAAUUUUUCAUCAAAUGACCUCAAAUCAGGUAAGACUACCCGCUGAACUUAAGCAUAUCAAUAGCGGAGGA